Molecule: ribosomal RNA, 742 nt
Filed under: uncultured bacterium
Lineage: Bacteria
Description: bacterial SSU rRNA
Rfam family: Bacterial small subunit ribosomal RNA
Source: RNAcentral
UGCAGUCGAGCGAGAAAGGGGAGCAAUCCCCGAGUAAAGCGGCAGACGGGUGAGUAACACGUGGGUAAUCUGCCCUCGGGCGGGGAAUAACAUCUCGAAAGAGGUGCUAAUACCGCAUAACAUCCGUGGACCCUCGGGUUCGCGGAUCAAAGGUGGGGAUCUUCGGACCUACCACCCGAGGAGGAGCCCGCGUCUGAUUAGCUAGUUGGUGGGGUAACGGCCUACCAAGGCGACGAUCAGUAGCCGGCCUGAGAGGGUGAACGGCCACACUGGAACUGAGACACGGUCCAGACUCCUACGGGAGGCAGCAGUGAGGAAUUUUGCGCAAUGGGCGAAAGCCUGACGGAGCAACGCCGCGUGGACGAUGAAGGUCUUCGGAUCGUAAAGUCCUGUCGAGUGGGACGAAAAAUGCGAGGGCUAAUACCUUUCGCAUUCGACUGUACCACCAAAGGAAGCCCCGGCUAACUCCGUGCCAGCAGCCGCGGUAAUACGGAGGGGGCUAGCGUUGUUCGGAAUUAUUGGGCGUAAAGGGCGCGUAGGCGGCCGGAUAAGUCUGACGUGAAAUCCCUCGGCCUAACCGGGGAACUGCAUUUGAUACUGUCUGGCUCGAGUCCGGGAGAGGGUAGUGGAAUUCCCAGUGUAGCGGUGAAAUGCGUAGAUAUUGAGAGGAACACCGGUGGCGAAGGCGGCUACCUGGACCGGUACUGACGCUGAGGCGCGAAAGCUAGGGUAGCAAACAGGA